Molecule: microRNA precursor, 111 nt
Organism: Chlorocebus sabaeus (green monkey)
Lineage: Eukaryota; Metazoa; Chordata; Mammalia; Primates; Cercopithecidae
Source: Ensembl
UGAUAGGGAAAUGAAGGAUUAUGGACCAGCUAAGGAAGGCAUUAGGAUCCUUUUUCUUGCCUCCCUUAGUUGGACCCUAAUCCUUCGUUUGGAUCCCGCUAUGUGGAUUCU